GAUGAACGCUGGCGGCGUGCCUAAUACAUGCAAGUCGAGCGAACAGAUAAGGAGCUUGCUCCUUUGACGUUAGCGGCGGACGGGUGAGUAACACGUGGGUAACCUACCUAUAAGACUGGAAUAACUCCGGGAAACCGGGGCUAAUGCCGGAUAACAUUUAGAACCGCAUGGUUCUAAAGUGAAAGAUGGUUUUGCUAUCACUUAUAGAUGGACCCGCGCCGUAUUAGCUAGUUGGUAAGGUAACGGCUUACCAAGGCAACGAUACGUAGCCGACCUGAGAGGGUGAUCGGCCACACUGGAACUGAGACACGGUCCAGACUCCUACGGGAGGCAGCAGUAGGGAAUCUUCCGCAAUGGGCGAAAGCCUGACGGAGCAACGCCGCGUGAGUGAUGAAGGUCUUCGGAUCGUAAAACUCUGUUAUUAGGGAAGAACAAAUGUGUAAGUAACUAUGCACGUCUUGACGGUACCUAAUCAGAAAGCCACGGCUAACUACGUG
This 497-nucleotide ribosomal RNA is filed under the name uncultured bacterium. Its description in RNAcentral is "partial 16S ribosomal RNA". It matches the Rfam family "Bacterial small subunit ribosomal RNA", at positions 28 to 507 of the family's 1533-position model. The record is from RNAcentral.